RNAcentral lists this ribosomal RNA (503 nucleotides) under uncultured bacterium. RNAcentral's name for it is "partial 16S ribosomal RNA". It matches the Rfam family "Bacterial small subunit ribosomal RNA", at positions 28 to 523 of the family's 1533-position model. The record is from RNAcentral.
GAUGAACGCUAGCGACUGGCUUAACACAUGCAAGUCGAGGGGCAGCAUAGAAGUAGCAAUACUUUGGUGGCGACCGGCGCACGGGUGAGUAACGCGUAUGCAACCUACCUAUCAGAGGGGAAUAACCCGGCGAAAGUCGGACUAACACCGCAUAAAACAGGGGCACCGCAUGGUGAUAUUUGUUAAAGAAAUUCGCUGAUAGAUGGGCAUGCGUUCCAUUAGGUAGUUGGUGAGGUAACGGCUCACCAAGCCGACGAUGGAUAGGGGAACUGAGAGGUUGGUCCCCCACACUGGUACUGAGACACGGACCAGACUCCUACGGGAGGCAGCAGUGAGGAAUAUUGGUCAAUGGGCGAGAGCCUGAACCAGCCAAGUCGCGUGAAGGAAGAAGGAUCUAUGGUUCGUAAACUUCUUUUGCAGGGGAAUAAAGUGCAGGACGUGUCCUGUUUUGUAUGUACCCUGAGAAUAAGGAUCGGCUAACUCCGUGCCAGCAGCCGCCGUAA